AGGAAGGAGCAUGGAGAAGACAAGAACAAGGCUCUCAGAAGGAACUGGUGUGGCUGGAGCCAUGACAACUGGUUGUGGAGGGGGUGAGGAGGGCAAAUAUAAUUUCUGACCUAUGUAAUGAUGUAUGCACAAGAAGCCUCUCUUGAAUGUAUUAAUUCAGCAAACAGUUAUGGAGUCCUUACCAUGUGCUAGUGGGACUUUGAAGAUGAAUCCAAAUUUGGAUCCUGGCCUGGAAAGGCUCAAAGCCCAAUAUGGGAGCCUGGAUACAAAUGUGAAACUUAUCUUCUUUUAUUAACCAAUCAACCACCUCCUGCCAAAACAACAUCAGCAACAACAACAAAAAAAAACAAAAACAAAAACAAAAAGAACUCUGUGUACACAAGACCUUUGUUUCCACAGCAGACUUGGCUAAAGGUUUGGGCAUGCAUAUGCAUACCCCCAAAAUUAAAAAUGGAAAAUUGAA
RNAcentral lists this long non-coding RNA (463 nucleotides) under Pan troglodytes (chimpanzee). RNAcentral's name for it is "lincRNA". The record is from RNAcentral. Lineage: Eukaryota; Metazoa; Chordata; Mammalia; Primates; Hominidae.